Non-coding RNA from Peromyscus maniculatus bairdii (prairie deer mouse), 1606 nucleotides. NCBI's taxonomy places the organism in Eukaryota, Metazoa, Chordata, Mammalia, Rodentia, Cricetidae. The record is from RefSeq and is a predicted model, not a curated record.
UCUACCAACAUCUACAUCCAACAGCCAGUGUCCUCUUCCGAUUUCACUCUGAAUUUCAGCCCGUGAAGAAGCCACAAUCUAGCAGCAUUUUUAGGACGUUAUCUAAAGACAAUGUUAGUGGUAUGGUUUGAAACUGAACUGCCCCUCAUGAACUGUCUCAUGUUUUGAAUGCAUGGUCUCUAGCUGGUGAUGUUGAUUUGGAAAGUUCUGGAAACUUUUGGGAGUAGGGCCUAGCUGGUGGAAGUAUGUGACUAGGGAUGAGCCUUCGAAGGGCAUAACCAACCUUGGCUCUUGUCCCUCAUCCUGUUUCCUAGUUAGCCAUGAGUUGAACUGCCUCUGCCACACUGCUACCGUAAACUGAAGUCUCCAUCCUGCCUUUCUGGCCACUGCCGGCUGAAGCCCUGGAGCAGUCACUGAACUUAGGAAGAGCAGAUAGAUGCUCCUGAAGUUAUCUCACCCUCUCAUAUGACUUACUGGGGGAUAAAACACGAGGAGUUUGGAGACAGAUGUCAAUGAUGACAAAAGGCACUCUACUUACAGGAACUUAAAAGCCAAAUGUUCACUGAGAUGAGCACAGAGCAGGGGCCAGUACCAACAUCGGGGAACUUUCACGUUCAGUCAAGUCUCACUGUGUACCACUCAUUCACCAUGGCUGAAGCAACACUGUCAACUGUUACACCCUUCGAGUAUAACAAGCCAACUAGCAUUUCAUGAGGAGGAAAAAAAGACAAAAGAGCUUGGUUCUGUUUUGAAGACAAACUUAAACUACCCUCUCAUCGGAGACCUCCUGGGUUCACCUUCUGAGGAAAGAAAGCUACACUUAACCUGCACAUCAGAUGGCGGCUCUGGCUGUCUACCUGGAGUUAUGAAGAAGAAAACAGCAAAUCAACACAGAACUGGAAGUGUGGACACUAACCUCCCACGUCAGGUUAACUCCCCCUCGAGAUGAUGUAUAAACACAUCUCUGAAUUGUUUUCCCUUCUAUACAACAGCCAAGUGUGUGUGUGAUAGAGUGAUGAUGAAAUAUACACACAACUAAAGAACCUGAAAGUAUACACAACUAUGGUUUUACUAAUGACCUUAUAUCCUUGAAAAUAACCAAUAUGGUCUAUCAAUGAGGCUAAUAGUUUUAAAAAUCACUGAAAACUCACAACACAACAGAUGGAAUUAUUUUGACUGGCUUCUGACACAGAUAUAAGCGCAAGUAGGACAUUAUGUAAACUCCCUGGGCAGACCCUCAUAAGCACACAUGGAAUACCCUUUGGUCAGCCUUGAAUCUCUCUAUCUCUCUAUCAUCUAUCUAUCUAUCUAUCUAUCUAUCUAUCUAUCUAUCUAUCUAUCUAUCUAUCUAUCUAUCUAUCUACUAUCUAUCUAUCUCUCUAUCUAUCUCUCUAUCUAUCUCUCUAUCAUCUAUCUAUCUCUCCCUCUCUCUCUCUCUUCCCCAUCCCCUCCCUUGCUCCCUCUCUGACUCACAGAACAGCAGCUCCCACAUGAAAUACAGCUUGGUUCCAUUAGGCAAAGGGCCACUGAAAAUCAUUUGUAAGUAAGUAAGAUGAACUCAUAUCAGCACUGUGGAAGAUAUGCUUUGACUAGUCAUUACAGCUCU